RNAcentral lists this ribosomal RNA (1711 nucleotides) under Escherichia coli. Its description in RNAcentral is "partial 23S ribosomal RNA". It matches the Rfam family "Bacterial large subunit ribosomal RNA", at positions 1 to 1746 of the family's 2925-position model. Lineage: Bacteria; Pseudomonadati; Pseudomonadota; Gammaproteobacteria; Enterobacterales; Enterobacteriaceae. The record is from RNAcentral.
GGGUUGUGAGGUUAAGCGACUAAGCGUACACGGUGGAUGCCCUGGCAGUCAGAGGCGAUGAAGGACGUGCUAAUCUGCGAUAAGCGUCGGUAAGGUGAUAUGAACCGUUAUAACCGGCGAUUUCCGAAUGGGGAAACCCAGUGUGAUUCGUCACACUAUCAUUAACUGAAUCCAUAGGUUAAUGAGGCGAACCGGGGGAACUGAAACAUCUAAGUACCCCGAGGAAAAGAAAUCAACCGAGAUUCCCCCAGUAGCGGCGAGCGAACGGGGAGCAGCCCAGAGCCUGAAUCAGUGUGUGUGUUAGUGGAAGCGUCUGGAAAGGCGCGCGAUACAGGGUGACAGCCCCGUACACAAAAAUGCACAUGCUGUGAGCUCGAUGAGUAGGGCGGGACACGUGGUAUCCUGUCUGAAUAUGGGGGGACCAUCCUCCAAGGCUAAAUACUCCUGACUGACCGAUAGUGAACCAGUACCGUGAGGGAAAGGCGAAAAGAACCCCGGCGAGGGGAGUGAAAAAGAACCUGAAACCGUGUACGUACAAGCAGUGGGAGCACGCUUAGGCGUGUGACUGCGUACCUUUUGUAUAAUGGGUCAGCGACUUAUAUUCUGUAGCAAGGUUAACCGAAUAGGGGAGCCGAAGGGAAACCGAGUCUUAACUGGGCGUUAAGUUGCAGGGUAUAGACCCGAAACCCGGUGAUCUAGCCAUGGGCAGGUUGAAGGUUGGGUAACACUAACUGGAGGACCGAACCGACUAAUGUUGAAAAAUUAGCGGAUGACUUGUGGCUGGGGGUGAAAGGCCAAUCAAACCGGGAGAUAGCUGGUUCUCCCCGAAAGCUAUUUAGGUAGCGCCUCGUGAAUUCAUCUCCGGGGGUAGAGCACUGUUUCGGCAAGGGGGUCAUCCCGACUUACCAACCCGAUGCAAACUGCGAAUACCGGAGAAUGUUAUCACGGGAGACACACGGCGGGUGCUAACGUCCGUCGUGAAGAGGGAAACAACCCAGACCGCCAGCUAAGGUCCCAAAGUCAUGGUUAAGUGGGAAACGAUGUGGGAAGGCCCAGACAGCCAGGAUGUUGGCUUAGAAGCAGCCAUCAUUUAAAGAAAGCGUAAUAGCUCACUGGUCGAGUCGGCCUGCGCGGAAGAUGUAACGGGGCUAAACCAUGCACCGAAGCUGCGGCAGCGACACUAUGUGUUGUUGGGUAGGGGAGCGUUCUGUAAGCCUGUGAAGGUGUACUGUGAGGUAUGCUGGAGGUAUCAGAAGUGCGAAUGCUGACAUAAGUAACGAUAAAGCGGGUGAAAAGCCCGCUCGCCGGAAGACCAAGGGUUCCUGUCCAACGUUAAUCGGGGCAGGGUGAGUCGACCCCUAAGGCGAGGCCGAAAGGCGUAGUCGAUGGGAAACAGGUUAAUAUUCCUGUACUUGGUGUUACUGCGAAGGGGGGACGGAGAAGGCUAUGUUGGCCGGGCGACGGUUGUCCCGGUUUAAGCGUGUAGGCUGGUUUUCCAGGCAAAUCCGGAAAAUCAAGGCUGAGGCGUGAUGACGAGGCACUACGGUGCUGAAGCAACAAAUGCCCUGCUUCCAGGAAAAGCCUCUAAGCAUCAGGUAACAUCAAAUCGUACCCCAAACCGACACAGGUGGUCAGGUAGAGAAUACCAAGGCGCUUGAGAGAACUCGGGUGAAGGAACUAGGCAAAAUGGUGCCGUAACUUCGGGAGAAGG